GUAGGUGAAACCUGCGGAAGGAUCAUUA
RNAcentral lists this ribosomal RNA (28 nucleotides) under Solenopsis invicta (red fire ant). Its description in RNAcentral is "partial 18S ribosomal RNA". The record is from RNAcentral. Lineage: Eukaryota; Metazoa; Arthropoda; Insecta; Hymenoptera; Formicidae.